RNAcentral lists this ribosomal RNA (247 nucleotides) under uncultured cyanobacterium. RNAcentral describes it as "partial 16S ribosomal RNA". It matches the Rfam family "Bacterial small subunit ribosomal RNA", at positions 796 to 1041 of the family's 1533-position model. The record is from RNAcentral. Lineage: Bacteria; Bacillati; Cyanobacteriota.
CUAGCCGUAAACGAUGGAUACUAGGUGUUGUCUGUAUCGACCCGGACAGUGCCGGAGCUAACGCGUUAAGUAUCCCGCCUGGGGAGUACGCACGCAAGUGUGAAACUCAAAGGAAUUGACGGGGGCCCGCACAAGCGGUGGAGUAUGUGGUUUAAUUCGAUGCAACGCGAAGAACCUUACCAGGGCUUGACAUGUCGCGAACCCCGCUGAAAGGUGGGGGUGCCUUAGGGAGCGCGAACACAGGUGG